Molecule: non-coding RNA, 92 nt
Organism: Mycena metata
Lineage: Eukaryota; Fungi; Basidiomycota; Agaricomycetes; Agaricales; Mycenaceae
Source: the annotation of a GenBank genome assembly
GACUCCGUAGCAUGUGGUAUGCGUCCGCGCUCCUUAGUUGUCGGCUGCGUUUCCGGAUGCGGAAGAACUCGGUUCGAUUCCGGGCGGGGACA